Molecule: ribosomal RNA, 490 nt
Filed under: uncultured bacterium
Lineage: Bacteria
Description: partial 16S ribosomal RNA
Rfam family: Bacterial small subunit ribosomal RNA
Source: RNAcentral
AUUGAACGCUGGCGGCAUGCUUUACACAUGCAAGUCGGACGGCAGCACAGAGAAGCUUGCUUCUUGGGUGGCGAGUGGCGAACGGGUGAGUAACAUAUCGGAACGUACCGAGCAGUGGGGGAUAACUAAUCGAAAGAUUAGCUAAUACCGCAUAUCUUCUGAGGAAGAAAGCAGGGGACCAUUUGGCCUUGCGCUGUUUGAGCGGCCGAUAUCUGAUUAGCUAGUUGGUGGGGUAAAGGCCUACCAAGGCGACGAUCAGUAGCGGGUCUGAGAGGAUGAUACGCCACACUGGGACUGAGACACGGCCCAGACUCCUACGGGAGGCAGCAGUGGGGAAUUUUGGACAAUGGGCGCAAGCCUGAUCCAGCCAUGCCGCGUGUCUGAAGAAGGCCUUCGGGUUGUAAAGGACUUUUGUCAGGGAAGAAAAGGGCGGGGUUAAUACCCCUGUCUGAUGACGGUACCUGAAGAAUAAGCACCGGCUAACUACGUG